AGCGUAGGCGGGUAUGCAAGUUGAAUGUGAAAUCUAUCGGCUCAACCGAUAGGCUGCGUUCAAAACUGUAUAUCUUGAGUGAAGUAGAGGUAGGCGGAAUUCCUGGUGUAGCGGUGAAAUGCGUAGAUAUCAGGAGGAACACCGGUGGCGAAGGCGGCCUGCUGGGCUUUUACUGACGCUGAGGCUCGAAAGCAUGGGUAGCAAACA
The sequence is a ribosomal RNA, 207 nucleotides long. It matches the Rfam family "Bacterial small subunit ribosomal RNA", at positions 568 to 774 of the family's 1533-position model.